GGGGGAGUAACACGGGGGAAAUUUGCUUAGGAUGGGGGAUAACAUUCGAAAACGGAUGGUAAUACCGCAUAUCUUUUUUGAACCGCAUGGUUUUUAAACGAAAGACGGCUUCGGCUGUCGCUCUUAGAUGAUCCCGCGGCGUAUUAGUUAGUUGGUGGGGUAAAGGCCUACCAAGACCAUGAUACGUAGCCGACCUGAGAGGGUGAUCGGCCACACUGGGACUGAGACACGGCCCAGACUCCUACGGGAGGCAGCAGUAGGGAAUCUUCCACAAUGGGUGAAAACCUGAUGGAGCAAUGCCGCGUGAAUGAAGAAGGUCUUCGGAUCGUAAAGUUCUGUUAUUAGAGAAGAACAAGUCAAGGAGUAACUGUCUUGACUUUGACGGUACCUAACCAGAAAGUCACGGCUAACUACGUGCCAGCAGCCGCGGUAAUACGUAGGUGACAAGCGUUGUCCGGAAUUAUUGGGCGUAAAGGGAGCGCAGGCGGUUGGAAUAGUCUGAUGUGAAAGCCCACGGCUUAACCGUGGAAGGUCAUUGGAAACUGUCCAACUUGAAUACAGAAGAGGUAAGUGGAAUUCCAAGUGUAGCGGUGAAAUGCGUAGAUAUUUGGAGGAACACCAGUGGCGAAGGCGACUUACUGGUCUGUAAUUGACGCUGAGGCUCGAAAGCGUGGGUAGCAAACAGGAUUAGAUACCCUGGUAGUCCACGCCGUAAACGAUGAGUGCUAAGUGUUAGGGGGUUUCCGCCCCUUAGUGCUGGAGUUAACGCA
Molecule: ribosomal RNA, 770 nt
Filed under: uncultured bacterium
Lineage: Bacteria
Description: bacterial SSU rRNA
Rfam family: Bacterial small subunit ribosomal RNA
Source: RNAcentral